This 428-nucleotide ribosomal RNA is filed under the name uncultured bacterium. RNAcentral's name for it is "bacterial SSU rRNA". It matches the Rfam family "Bacterial small subunit ribosomal RNA", at positions 355 to 775 of the family's 1533-position model. The record is from RNAcentral.
UAGGGAAUAUUGCGCAAUGGGCGAAAGCCUGACGCAGCCAUGCCGCGUGGAUGAUGAAGGCCUUCGGGUCGUAAAGUCCUUUUCUGAGGGAAGAACUGCCGGGGGAGGAAAUGCCCUUGGCUUGACGGUACCUCAGGAAUAAGCAACGGCUAACUCCGUGCCAGCAGCCGCGGUAAUACGGAGGUUGCAAGCGUUGUUCGGAAUGACUGGGCGUAAAGGGAGCGCAGGCGGCCAAGUCAGUCUGAAGUGAAAGCCCGGGGCUUAACCCCGGAAUAGCUUUGGAUACUGCCUGGCUUGAGUGUGCGAUAGGAAAGCGGAAUUCCAGGUGUAGCGGUGAAAUGCGUAGAUAUCUGGAGGAACACCGGUGGCGAAAGCGGCUUUCUGGCGCAUAACUGACGCUGAGGCUCGAAAGCGUGGGGAGCGAACGG